GAUCCUGGCUCAGGACGAACGCUGGCGGCGUGCCUAACACAUGCAAGUCGAACGGAGCUGCUUUGAUUGAUUCCUUCGGGAUGAUUUUGAUUCAGCUUAGUGGCGGACGGGUGAGUAACGCGUGAGCAACCUGCCUUUCAGGUGGGGGACAACAGUUGGAAACGACUGCUAAUACCGCAUAAUAUCCUUUUGGGGCAUCCCUUUUGGAUCAAAGAUUUAUUGCUGAAAGAUGGGCUCGCG
RNAcentral lists this ribosomal RNA (240 nucleotides) under uncultured bacterium. Its description in RNAcentral is "partial 16S ribosomal RNA". It matches the Rfam family "Bacterial small subunit ribosomal RNA", at positions 15 to 235 of the family's 1533-position model. The record is from RNAcentral.